RNAcentral lists this ribosomal RNA (1345 nucleotides) under metagenome. RNAcentral's name for it is "bacterial SSU rRNA". It matches the Rfam family "Bacterial small subunit ribosomal RNA", at positions 171 to 1486 of the family's 1533-position model. The record is from RNAcentral.
GGAUAUGGUUCCAUGAGCCUCGGCUCUUGGAAUUAAAGGUGACCUCUUAAUCAAAGUUGCCGUUCAGGGACGGGCUCGCGUACCAUUAGCUUGUUGGUAGGGUAAUGGCCUACCAAGGCUACGAUGGUUAGCUGGUCUGAGAGCAUGAUCAGUCACACUGGAACUGGAACACGGUCCAGACUCCUACGGGAGGCAGCAGUGAGGAAUUUUGCGCAAUGGGGGAAACCCUGACGCAGCAACGCCGCGUGAGCGAAGAAGGCCUUCGGGUCGUAAAGCUCUGUCAAGUGGGAAAAAAGCCUUUCGGUUAAUACCCGGAAGGUCUGAUGGUACCACUGGAGGAAGCACCGGCUAACUCCGUGCCAGCAGCCGCGGUAAUACGGAGGGUGCAAGCGUUGUUCGGAAUUACUGGGCGUAAAGCGCGUGUAGGCGGUUUGGUAAGUCAGAUGUGAAAGCCCUGGGCUCAACCCGGGAAGUGCAUUUGAAACUGCCUUUCUUGAGUAUGGGAGAGGAGAGUGGAAUUCCCAGUGUAGAGGUGAAAUUCGUAGAUAUUGGGAGGAACACCCGUGGCGAAGGUGACUCUCUGGACCAAUACUGACGCUGAGACGCGAAAGCGUGGGGAGCAAACAGGAUUAGAUACCCGGUAGUCCACGCCGUAAACGAUGAGAACUAGGUGUAGCGGGUAUUGACCCCUGCUGUGCCGAAGUUAACGCAUUAAGUUCUCCGCCUGGGGAGUACGGCCGCAAGGCUAAAACUCAAAGGAAUUGACGGGGGCCCGCACAAGCGGUGGAGCAUGUGGUUUAAUUCGACGCAACGCGAAGAACCUUACCUGGGUUUGACAUCCUCUGACCGCCCCGGAAACGGGGUUUUUCCGACUCUGUCGGAACAGAGUGACAGGUGCUGCAUGGCUGUCGUCAGCUCGUGUCGUGAGAUGUUGGGUUAAGUCCCGCAACGAGCGUAACCCUUGUCUUUAGUUGCCAUUAUUAAGUUAGGCACUCUAAAGAGACUGCCUCGGUUAACGGGGAGGAAGGUGGGGAUGACGUCAAGUCCUCAUGGCCUUUAUAUCCAGGGCUACACACGUGCUACAAUGGGCUGUACAAAGGGUUGCCACUCCGCGAGGAGGAGCUAAUCCCAAAAAGCAGUCCUCAGUUCGGAUUGGAGUCUGCAACUCGACUCCAUGAAGGUGGAAUCGCUAGUAAUCGUGGAUCAGCACGCCACGGUGAAUACGUUCCCGGGCCUUGUACACACCGCCCGUCACACCACGAAAGUCGACUGUACCAGAAGUUGCUGGGCCAACCCCUUUUGGGGGGGCAGGUACCUAAGGUACGGCCGGUAAUUGGGGUGAAGU